UAGGUCUUUGGUGUAGUGGUAACAUGGCAAGUUCCAACCUUGUUGUCGUGGGUUCGAUUCCUACAAGGUCUGU
RNAcentral lists this transfer RNA (73 nucleotides) under Streptococcus suis. Its description in RNAcentral is "tRNA-Trp(cca)". It matches the Rfam family "tRNA". From Rfam's summary of the family: Transfer RNA (tRNA) molecules are approximately 80 nucleotides in length. Their secondary structure includes four short double-helical elements and three loops (D, anti-codon, and T loops). Lineage: Bacteria; Bacillati; Bacillota; Bacilli; Lactobacillales; Streptococcaceae. The record is from RNAcentral.